RNAcentral lists this ribosomal RNA (253 nucleotides) under uncultured microorganism. RNAcentral's name for it is "partial 16S ribosomal RNA". It matches the Rfam family "Bacterial small subunit ribosomal RNA", at positions 524 to 776 of the family's 1533-position model. The record is from RNAcentral.
UACGUAGGGUGCGAGCGUUGUCCGGAUUUAUUGGGCGUAAAGCGAGCGCAGGCGGCCCGUUAAGACAGGUGUGAAAUCCCUGGGCUCAACCUAGGAAUUGCGCUUGUGACUGGCGGGCUCGAGUACGGUAGAGGGGGGUGGAAUUCCUGGUGUAGCAGUGAAAUGCGUAGAGAUCAGGAGGAACACCGAUGGCGAAGGCAGCCCCCUGGGCCUGUACUGACGCUCAUGCACGAAAGCGUGGGGAGCAAACAGG